Molecule: long non-coding RNA, 226 nt
Filed under: Gossypium barbadense (sea-island cotton)
Lineage: Eukaryota; Viridiplantae; Streptophyta; Magnoliopsida; Malvales; Malvaceae
Description: long non-coding RNA (GBAR_LNC021897)
Source: RNAcentral
UUACAUUUAAGCUGUCUUAUUAUUUACUGAGGAAAGAGAAAGUGGAGGAGAUUUUGCUAUUAAUGUGGGAGUGAAUGAUUAGUAGUAAUCCAAUUCCUUUUCACUGUUCGUGGGGCUUAAAACUCAAGCUUUUUUGCUGUUUGGGUACCAAAAAAGAUGAUUCAUCCAGCUAUGUAUAGCCAUUUCACCCCUAUAUGUCAAUUGAAAAAUCCAACCCUUGACUGAG